RNAcentral lists this ribosomal RNA (468 nucleotides) under uncultured bacterium. RNAcentral's name for it is "partial 16S ribosomal RNA". It matches the Rfam family "Bacterial small subunit ribosomal RNA", at positions 28 to 507 of the family's 1533-position model. The record is from RNAcentral.
GACGAACGCUGGCGGCGUGCUUAACACAUGCAAGUCGAACGGAAAGGCCCUGCUUUUGUGGGGUGCUCGAGUGGCGAACGGGUGAGUAACACGUGAGUAACCUGCCCUUGACUUUGGGAUAACUUCAGGAAACUGGGGCUAAUACCGGAUAGGAGCUCCUGCUGCAUGGUGGGGGUUGGAAAGUUUCGGCGGUUGGGGAUGGACUCGCGGCUUAUCAGCUUGUUGGUGGGGUAGUGGCUUACCAAGGCUUUGACGGGUAGCCGGCCUGAGAGGGUGACCGGCCACAUUGGGACUGAGAUACGGCCCAGACUCCUAAGGGAGGCAGCAGUGGGGAAUAGUGCACAAUGGGCGGAAGCCUGAUGCAGCAACGCCGCGUGCGGGAUGACGGCCUUCGGGUUGUAAACCGCUUUCGCCUGUGACGAAGCGUGAGUGACGGUAAUGGGUAAAGAAGCACCGGCUAACUACGUG